UUGUAAUUGGAAUGAUGGGAAUUUAAACCUCUUCCAGAGUAUCUUCCUGGAGGGCAAGUCUGGUGCCAGCAGCCGCGGUAAUUCCAGCUCCCCUAGCGUAUAUUAAAAUUGUUGCAGUUAAAAAGCUCGUAGUUGAAUUUCUGCUGUAUUGCAUUUUCUCUUUUUAUAUGAGUUUUUGCAUUAUGGCUUAUUUCAGUAUUAAUUUUUUAUUAUUACUGAAUGUUUACUUUGAGAAAAUUAGAGUGCUCAAAGCAGGCUUUUGCCUUGAAUAGUUUAGCAUGGAAUAAUAAAGUAGGACUUUGGUUCUAUUUUGUUGGUUUUAGGUACCAAAGUAAUGGUUAAUAGGAACAGUUGGGGGCAUUCGUAUUUAACUGUCAGAAGGUGAAAUUCUUAGAU
This 396-nucleotide ribosomal RNA is filed under the name Theileria sp. OT3. Its description in RNAcentral is "SSU rRNA". It matches the Rfam family "Eukaryotic small subunit ribosomal RNA", at positions 503 to 925 of the family's 1831-position model. Lineage: Eukaryota; Apicomplexa; Aconoidasida; Piroplasmida; Theileriidae. The record is from RNAcentral.